UUUUUUUUUUUUUUUUUUUUUUUUUUUUUUUUUUUUUUUUUUUUUCC
Molecule: non-coding RNA, 47 nt
Filed under: Alexandrium minutum
Lineage: Eukaryota; Dinophyceae; Gonyaulacales; Pyrocystaceae
Source: RNAcentral